This is an RNA transcript of Tympanuchus pallidicinctus (lesser prairie-chicken), 2245 nucleotides long. It is a transcript of the gene named fibronectin type III and SPRY domain containing 1, with no coding region annotated. The transcript has 13 exons. The record is from RefSeq and is a predicted model, not a curated record. NCBI's taxonomy places the organism in Eukaryota, Metazoa, Chordata, Aves, Galliformes, Phasianidae.
GCCUCGAAGGCGGACUACGCUUCCCAGCAUGCUCUGCGGGCGGGGCGGAGCGGGGACGGAACCGCUCCCCUUUUGUUGGUGCCGGCAGGGCCUGGAGGCGGUGGGGGCGGCCCGGUAUGGGCGACCAGGAAGCGCUGCGGAAGAUCAUCACCACUUUGGCUGUGAAGAAUGAAGAGAUCCAGAACUUCAUCUACUCCCUCAAGCAGAUGCUGCAGAAUGUGGAGGACAACUCUGCACGAGUGCAGGAGGACCUGGAGGGGGAGUUCCAGUCGCUGUAUGCGCUGCUGGACGAGCUGAAGGACAGCAUGCUGAUGAAGAUCAAGCAGGACCGCGCCAGCCGCACCUACGAGCUGCAGGCUCAGCUGGCGGCGUGUGCCAAAGCGCUGGAGAGCUCGGAGGAGCUGCUGGAGACGGCCAACCAGACCCUGGCGACGGCCAACAACCACGACUUCGCCCAGGCUGCCAAACAGAUCAAGGAUAGUGUGACGAUGGCUCCCGCCUUCCGCCUCUCGCUCAAGGCCAAGGUGAGCGACAACAUGAGCCACCUGAUGGUGGAUUUUGCCCAGGAGCGCCGCCUGCUGCAAGCCCUCGCCUUCCUGCCAGUGCCGAGCACCCCUGAGAUCGACCUGACGGAGUCACUGGUGGCCGAUAACUGCGUGACGCUGUGCUGGAGGAUGCCUGAUGAGGACAGCAAGAUCGACCACUACGUGCUGGAGUACCGCAGGACCAACUUCGAGGGGCCGCCCCGAGCCAAGGAGGAGCAGCCCUGGAUGGUGGUGGAGGGCAUUAAGGGCACUGAGUACACGCUGUCUGGGCUGAAGUUUGACAUGAAGUACAUGAAUUUCCGAGUGCGGGCCUGCAACAAAGCCGUGGCCGGAGAGUUCUCUGAGGCGGUCACUUUGGAGACGAGAGCGUUCAUGUUCCGGCUGGAUGCCAGCACGUGCCACCAGAACCUGCGCGUGGAGGACUUCAGCGUGGAGUGGGACGCCACGGGGGGAAAGGUGCAGGAUGUGAAGACAAGGGAGAAGGACGGGAAGGGCAGGACUGCGUCGCCCGCCAACUCCCCCGCCAGGGCUGUGCAGUCACCCAAGCGGAUGUCGCUGGGCCGCGCCGGCAGGGAUCGCUUCACCGCCGAAUCCUACACGGUGUUGGGCGACACCUUGAUCGACGGCGACGACCACUACUGGGAGGUGCGGUACGACCGCGACAGCAAAGCCUUCGGCGUCGGGGUGGCGUAUCGCAGCCUGGGCAAGUUCGAUCAGCUGGGCAAGACGUCGGCGUCGUGGUGCCUCCACCUCAACAACUGGCUGCAGGUCAGCUUCAGCGCCAAGCACGCCAACAAGGCCAAGGUGCUGGAUGUGCCCGUGCCCGACUGCAUCGGCGUCUACUGCAACUUCCAUGAAGUGUCCCACGUGUGCCCCAUGUGUGUUCCAUCUGUGCCCCAUAUAUGCCCCUCACGUGCCUUCCUGUGUGCUCCAUAAGUGCCCAUAUGUGUGCCCCCACGUGUGGCUGUGUGCGCCCUACACGCAUGCCUGUGUGCCCACAUGUGCCCCGCAUGCGCCCCCCUGUAUACUCCAUACAUGCUUCUAUAUGUGCCCCACAUAUGCCCCUGUGUGCCCCACACGUACCCCUAUGUGUGCCUCCUCUAUGCCCCACACGUGCCCCUUAUCUGUGCCUCACAUGUCCCACGUGUGCCCUUAUGUGUGCCCCACAUUUGCCCCAUGUGUGCUCCAUGCGGCCCCUUUUGCGUCCCACACGUGUCUCCAUGUUCCCCAUCUUCUCCCCCGUGUGCCCCACAUCUGUCCCACAAACACCCCGCUGUGUGCCCCUGUGUGCCCACAUGUGCCCCUGUGUGUGUCCCUAGAUGUGCCUCAUAUAUGCCCCACAUGCCCUGUGUGUGCCCCACACGAGCCCCUAUGGUGCCCCACGUGUCCCUGUAUGUGCUCCAUACAUUCCCCCUCUAUCUGUGCCCCACACGUGCCCCUCAGUGCUUUCUGCGUGUGCCCCACAGGUGCCCAUAUGUGUGUUUCACAUGUGCUGCUAUGUGUGCUCCAUGUGCCCCCUUCUGUGUCCCAUGUGUGCCCCUAUGUGUGCCCCACACCUACCCAUGUGUGCCCACAGGAUUCCUGUCCUUCUACAACGCCCGCACCAAGCAGCUGCUGCACACCUUCAAGGCUCGCUUUGCGCAGCCGGUGCUGCCAGCCUUCAUGGUUUGGUGUGGCAGCUUCCACGUCUCCUCGGGCCU